Molecule: ribosomal RNA, 305 nt
Filed under: uncultured bacterium
Lineage: Bacteria
Description: bacterial SSU rRNA
Rfam family: Bacterial small subunit ribosomal RNA
Source: RNAcentral
UUCCUACGGGGGGCAGCAGUGGGGGAUAUUGCACAAUGGGGGGAACCCUGAUGCAGCGACGCCGCGUGGGUGAAGAAGCGUUUCGGCGCGUAAAGCCCUGUCAGCAGGGAAGAACAAUGACGGUACCUGACUAAGAAGCACCGGCUAAAUACGUGCCAGCAGCCGCGGUAAUACGUAUGGUGCAAGCGUUAUCCGGAUUUACUGGGUGUAAAGGGAGCGCAGGCGGCGCGUUAAGCCUGGUGUGAAAGCCCGCGGCCCAACCGCGGGACUGCAUUGGGAACUGGCGCGCUGGAGUGGCGGAGGGG